RNAcentral lists this small nucleolar RNA (84 nucleotides) under Myotis lucifugus (little brown bat). Its description in RNAcentral is "Small nucleolar RNA SNORA15 (ENSMLUG00000021465.1)". The record is from RNAcentral. Lineage: Eukaryota; Metazoa; Chordata; Mammalia; Chiroptera; Vespertilionidae.
GAUAUCAAAAGUAGUCUUCCCUUUAAAAUGGCUAUAUGGUAUGCCAAGUUUUUUCAUAGCAUAUCAUUACUAAAAGAUACAAAU